This 253-nucleotide ribosomal RNA is filed under the name uncultured bacterium. RNAcentral describes it as "partial 16S ribosomal RNA". It matches the Rfam family "Bacterial small subunit ribosomal RNA", at positions 524 to 776 of the family's 1533-position model. The record is from RNAcentral.
UACGGGGGGGGCAAGCGUUGUUCGGAAUUACUGGGCGUAAAGGGCGCGUAGGCGGCCAUGCGUGUCUUCCGUGAAAUCCCUCGGCUUAACUGAGGACGUGCGGAAGAAACUGCAAGGCUCGAGUCCGGGAGAGGGGGGUGGAAUUCCCAGUGUAGCGGUGAAAUGCGUAGAUAUUGGGAGGAACACCGGUGGCGAAGGCGGCCCCCUGGACCGGUACUGACGCUGAGGCGCGAAAGCGUGGGUAGCAAACGGG